Molecule: long non-coding RNA, 353 nt
Organism: Eriocheir sinensis (Chinese mitten crab)
Lineage: Eukaryota; Metazoa; Arthropoda; Malacostraca; Decapoda; Varunidae
Exons: 3
Source: RefSeq, a predicted model, not a curated record
AAACCCGGGCAGGUGGAGGUCGUCAGCCGUGGUAGGCAAUUCACCUAGGAGAGCAAACUCCGAACAAUAAACCCGGGCAGGUGGAGGUCGUCAGCCGUGGUAGGCAAUUCACCUAGGAGAGCAAACUCCGAACAAUAAACCCGGGCAGGUGGAGGUCGUCAGCCGUGGUAGGCAAUCUGCCUAGGAGAGCAAACUCUAAAUAAACCCGGGCUUGUGGUGCUCGUUAUACUGUCGUAGACAAUCCACGCGAUGGGAACACCAAAGAAAAGGAAAAUAAAAAAGAACACCAGAAAAAUGGAAAAUACAGAAACGAAACAUCAAGAAAAGAAACAAAAAGAUCAUCCACCUUUAGG